This 70-nucleotide transfer RNA is filed under the name Cricetulus griseus (Chinese hamster). It matches the Rfam family "tRNA". From Rfam's summary of the family: Transfer RNA (tRNA) molecules are approximately 80 nucleotides in length. Lineage: Eukaryota; Metazoa; Chordata; Mammalia; Rodentia; Cricetidae. The record is from Rfam by way of RNAcentral.
GGGGAUGUAGCUUGGUUGGUAAGGCGCCUGCCUACAGUGCAUGAAACCCUGGGUUUAACUCCCAGCACCA